RNAcentral lists this ribosomal RNA (828 nucleotides) under uncultured crenarchaeote. RNAcentral describes it as "bacterial SSU rRNA". It matches the Rfam family "Archaeal small subunit ribosomal RNA", at positions 169 to 980 of the family's 1478-position model. The record is from RNAcentral. Lineage: Archaea; Thermoproteati; Thermoproteota.
UCUGGAAUGAGUCUCCGCCCAAAAGACGUUCAGGUCAUGCUCCUGAAUGCCGCCCAAGGAUGGGGCCGCGACCGAUCAGGUUGUUGGUAAGGUAACGGCCUACCAAGCCUUUUACCGGUGCGGGCCGUGGGAGCGGGAGCCCGGAGAUGGGCACUGAGACAAGGGCCCAGGCCCUACGGGGCGCAGCAGUCGCGAAAACUUUGCAAUAAGCGAAAGCUUGACAGGGCUAUCCCGAGUGCCAUCCGCUGAGGAAGGCUUUUACCCAGUCUAGAACGCUGGGAGAAUAAGGAGAGGGCAAGUCUGGUGUCAGCCGCCGCGGUAAUACCAGCUCUCCGAGUGGUGUGGAUGUUUAUUGGGCCUAAAGCAUCCGUAGCUUGCCAGGCAAGUCCCCUGUUAAAUCCACCGAAUCAAUCGUUGGAUUGCGGGGGAUACUGCCCGGCUAGGGGACGAGAGAGGCCGACGGUAUUCCCGGGGUAGGGGUGAAAUCCUAUAAUCCCGGGAGGACCACCAGUGGCGAAGGCUGUCGGCUAGAACGCGCCCGACGGUGAUGGAUGAAAGCUGGGGGAGCGAACCGGAUUAGAUACCCGGGUAGUCCCAGCUGUAAACGAUGCAGGCUAGGUGUUUGGGCGGCCACGUGCCGCUCUAGUGCCGCAGGGAAGCUGUUAAGCCUGCCGCCUGGGGAGUACGGUCGCAAGGCUGAAACUUAAAGGAAUUGGCGGGGGAGCACCACAAGGGGUGAAGCUUGCGGUUUAAUUGGAGUCAACGCCGGAAAUCUCACCGGGAGCGACAGCAGUGUGAAGGCCAGAUUAAAGGUCUUGCCAGACGAGC